UUAACUGAAGCCAAAAAGAGGCAUAUUACUGUUAAUAAUAAAAUUGAAUGAAAUUCCAGUUAAA
RNAcentral lists this transfer RNA (64 nucleotides) under Saussurella borneensis. Its description in RNAcentral is "tRNA-Asn". The record is from RNAcentral. Lineage: Eukaryota; Metazoa; Arthropoda; Insecta; Orthoptera; Tetrigidae.